GUGUGUGUGUGUGUGUGUGUGUUUGUAAACACCGCCAAUUGAACCAGACACCAAGAAUACACACCAAUCAACUGAUCACCUGGAAUUCAAAUGGACACCCGAACACAGGUGUUCUGUUGAAAUAACGUCAUUUUCGUGUUGCUCUCAUUCAUUUCCAAUCGUAUCAUCUCGGGUAUUUCCGUCAUAGGUCGGAAAUACAUUUUGCGCUUGUCGGAAAUGAUCCAGAAAUUUCGAUUGAUUAAAUUUCAUCAGAAAAAAUAAAAAAUAUAUGAGUGUUAAUUUGGAGCCAAUUUCCUGAUUUCAUUUACACAAUGUGUGUGUAAUAUUCUACUGCAAUUCCCUUCUUUACACAGAAAAAUUUGCGCAUGCGUAAACGGAAUAUCGGAAGUAAAUGUUUAACGACAAAAGUGAUACACGCUGUGACUUAUGAAUGACCUCGUGGAUAUAUUUUCUGAUGUCACCGUGAUUAUUAAGGUACAAGCAGAAAUGGUGGACGACAUCAUUGGUCAAAGGAUGAGAAAAAUUCCAUUGAGCGCCAGUUUUCUGAAUAUUUCAAAUCUGGACAUACCGGUACACCUGGUCGAUUAGCAUGCUUAAAUGCAAUUGCAAAAGAACCAAUACUCUCAAAACGUGACUGGUCUAAGAUAAAGCAUACUGUUAGAAAUAUGAUCAUUUCACAAAAAAGGAAACAAUACAAGGCUUAAAUAUUUCAUAUCUUAUUUCAUUAUUGUAUGUUAAAAUUAAAUUAGACAUGUGAAAAAGAGGACAUUAUUCCUUGUCUCCUACAUUUCUUAGCCUGCAUACAUAUUUGUUUGGUUGUUUAUAUAUUUGUUUGUUUGUUUGUUUUUGGUUACGAUUUAGUGUAUUUAUCUGCAAUGUGUAAUAUGAUCAAACAGUAAAACUUAAAAUUCUACAUGAGUUCUUAUUGGCUAAUUGCAAUCCAGUGAAACCAAUGAAAAGAAAGUUAUACAUGUAUAAUGAUCUUAAUGCUGAAACUGAACUUUGAAAAAUUAACAUAUCUAUUGUUUAUUUAUCACCUGUUUUCAGAUUCAAUGCAUAUAGCUAUUAAUUAAAGUCUGAUAAUUUCAUCUAGCCUAUAGAUUGUAUUUUGUAAUUAAUAUUGCAUGAAAAAUUCAUACUAGAACUUAAAGCAUGAAAAUAAAGUUUAUCUUAGUGAUUAUGUCAUUCUUUUCUUGUCUAGGCCCUGUACAUAUUUUUGUUUUUCUAAUAAAUGAACAUAGAAUUUAUGUACAUGUAUCUCUUUUGAUAGAUCAUAACAAUAUGAAUAUUUUAUCUACAUGUAGAUUCUGAUAUGAAAUUGAUAUUCAGAUUUAUAAUUACUAAAAUAUUAACAUGAAAAUGAUCUUGCACAAGUACGUACUCUAGGUUUUUGUUGUUGUUUUUUAUCUGCAUGGUCAUUGUUGAU
Long non-coding RNA from Saccostrea cuccullata (small rock oyster), 1426 nucleotides. RefSeq lists it as uncharacterized. The transcript has 2 exons. The record is from RefSeq and is a predicted model, not a curated record. NCBI's taxonomy places the organism in Eukaryota, Metazoa, Mollusca, Bivalvia, Ostreida, Ostreidae.